Molecule: ribosomal RNA, 528 nt
Filed under: uncultured bacterium
Lineage: Bacteria
Description: bacterial SSU rRNA
Rfam family: Bacterial small subunit ribosomal RNA
Source: RNAcentral
UUGACAUCCAGCGAACUUUCCAGAGAUGGAUUGGUGCCUUCGGGAACGCUGAGACAGGUGCUGCAUGGCUGUCGUCAGCUCGUGUUGUGAAAUGUUGGGUUAAGUCCCGNAACGAGCGCAACCCUUAUCCUUUGUUGCCAGCGAUUCGGUCGGGAACUCAAAGGAGACUGCCGGUGAUAAACCGGAGGAAGGUGGGGAUGACGUCAAGUCAUCAUGGCCCUUACGAGUAGGGCUACACACGUGCUACAAUGGCGCAUACAAAGAGAAGCGACCUCGCGAGAGCAAGCGGACCUCAUAAAGUGCGUCGUAGUCCGGAUCGGAGUCUGCAACUCGACUCCGUGAAGUCGGAAUCGCUAGUAAUCGUGGAUCAGAAUGCCACGGUGAAUACGUUCCCGGGCCUUGUACACACCGCCCGUCACACCAUGGGAGUGGGUUGCAAAAGAAAUAGGUAGCUUAACCUUCGGGAGGGCGCUUACCACUUUGUGAUUCAUGACUGGGGUGAAGUCGUAACAAGGUAAGCGUAGCGAG